RNAcentral lists this ribosomal RNA (248 nucleotides) under uncultured bacterium. RNAcentral's name for it is "partial 16S ribosomal RNA". It matches the Rfam family "Bacterial small subunit ribosomal RNA", at positions 111 to 354 of the family's 1533-position model. The record is from RNAcentral.
UAACACGUGGAUAACCUGCCUCAAGGCUGGGGAUAACAUUUGGAAACAGAUGCUAAUACCGAAUAAAACUUAGUAUCGCAUGAUAUCAAGUUAAAAGGCGCUACGGCGUCACCUAGAGAUGGAUCCGCGGUGCAUUAGUUAGUUGGUGGGGUAAAGGCUUACCAAGACGAUGAUGCAUAGCCGAGUUGAGAGACUGAUCGGCCACAUUGGGACUGAGACACGGCCCAAACUCCUACGGAAGGCAGCAG